Molecule: long non-coding RNA, 400 nt
Organism: Anopheles funestus (African malaria mosquito)
Lineage: Eukaryota; Metazoa; Arthropoda; Insecta; Diptera; Culicidae
Exons: 2
Source: RefSeq, a predicted model, not a curated record
GUACCCAAGCGACAGAGCAAGCGAUAUACGACGAGUUGAAAUGUCAUUUGCUCUACGGCUCACACACACAUGUACAUUUCAAGCGUUUAAUCUAUGUAGGCUGUUUGGUGCGCUAACGCAACUAUUGUUUUGAUGUUGUUUUUCUAGCCAUUUGUGUAGUUGUUGCGUUUUAUCAACAAUUCCUGAAAUAGUAGCGAUUCAGAUAAUGGAGAAAAUAAGUGCUAAAUAGGUAAAAGUGUGCAAAAAUCAUUCCGAUGCGUCGGCAUCGGCAAAAGUGAGAUGCACUGCAUUCAAAAGAUGUAAUAUUCUUCAGGAUCAAAAACGAAUUCAUCCAGGAAUGACCAGUGUGGUGGACGAAAAUGGAUACCUUCCCGAAAUAUAUUCACAAACCCGAAACAAA